This 1140-nucleotide ribosomal RNA is filed under the name Candidatus Synechococcus spongiarum. RNAcentral describes it as "bacterial SSU rRNA". It matches the Rfam family "Bacterial small subunit ribosomal RNA", at positions 376 to 1533 of the family's 1533-position model. Lineage: Bacteria; Bacillati; Cyanobacteriota; Cyanophyceae; Synechococcales; Synechococcaceae. The record is from RNAcentral.
CGAAAGCCUGACGGAGCAACGCCGCGUGAGGGAUGGAGGCCUUUGGGCUGUAAACCUCUUUUCUCAAGGAAGAAGAUCUGACGGUACUUGAGGAAUAAGCCACGGCUAAUUCCGUGCCAGCAGCCGCGGUAAUACGGGAGUGGCAAGCGUUAUCCGGAAUUAUUGGGCGUAAAGCGUCCGCAGGCGGCCGUUUAAGUCUGUUGUUAAAUCGUGGAGCUCAACUCCAUCACGGCAAUGGAAACUGUUCGGCUUGAGUAUGGUAGGGGCAGAGGGAAUUUCCGGUGUAGCGGUGAAAUGCGUAGAUAUCGGGAAGAACACCAGUGGCGAAAGCGCUCUGCUGGGCCAUUACUGACGCUCAUGGACGAAAGCCAGGGGAGCGAAAGGGAUUAGAUACCCCUGUAGUCCUGGCCGUAAACGAUGAACACUAGAUGUUGGGGGAAUCGACCCCCUCGGUGUCGUAGCUAACGCGUUAGUGUUCCGCCUGGGGAGUACGCACGCAAGUGUGAAACUCAAAGGAAUUGACGGGGGCCCGCACAAGCGGUGGAGUAUGUGGCUUAAUUCGAUGCAACGCGAAGAACCUUACCAAGGCUUGACAUCCUGCGAAUCUCUAAGAAAUUAGAGAGUGCCUUCGGGAACGCAGUGACAGGUGGUGCAUGGCUGUCGUCAGCUCGUGUCGUGAGAUGUUGGGUUAAGUCCCGCAACGAGCGCAACCCACGUUUUUAGUUGCCAGCAUUCAGUUGGGCACUCUAGAAAGACUGCCGGUGACAAACCGGAGGAAGGUGUGGACGACGUCAAGUCAUCAUGCCCCUUACGCCUUGGGCUACACACGUACUACAAUGCUGCGGACAAAGAGUAGCGAUCUUGCGAAAGUUAGCUAAUCUCAUAAACCGUGGCUCAGUUCAGAUCGUAGGCUGCAACUCGCCUACGUGGAGGAGGAAUCGCUAGUAAUCGCAGGUCAGCAUACUGCGGUGAAUACGUUCCCGGGCCUUGUACACACCGCCCGUCACACCAUGGAAGUUGGCCAUGCCCGAAGUCGUUACUCUAACCUUUUGGAAGAGGGCGCCGAAGGCAGGGCUAAUGACUGGGGUGAAGUCGUAACAAGGUAGCCGUAGCGGAAGCUGCGGCUGGAUCACCUCCUAA